AGUGAACGCUGGCGGUAGGCCUAACACAUGCAAGUCGAACGGCAGCACAGUAAGAGCUUGCUCUUACGGGUGGCGAGUGGCGGACGGGUGAGGAAUACAUCGGAAUCUACUUUUUCGUGGGGGAUAACGUAGGGAAACUUACGCUAAUACCGCAUACGACCUACGGGUGAAAGCAGGGGAUCUUCGGACCUUGCGCGAUUGAAUGAGCCGAUGUCGGAUUAGCUAGUUGGCGGGGUAAAGGCCCACCAAGGCGACGAUCCGUAGCUGGUCUGAGAGGAUGAUCAGCCACACUGGGACCGAGACACGGUCCAGACUCCUACGGGAGGCAGCAGUGGGGAAUAUUGGACAAUGGGCGCAAGCCUGAUCCAGCCAUACCGCGUGGGUGAAGAAGGCCUUCGGGUUGUAAAGCCCUUUUGUUGGGAAAGAAAAGCAGCAGGUUAAUACCCCGCUGUUCUGACGGUACCCAAAGAAUAAGCACCGGCUAACUUCGUG
This 492-nucleotide ribosomal RNA is filed under the name uncultured bacterium. Its description in RNAcentral is "partial 16S ribosomal RNA". It matches the Rfam family "Bacterial small subunit ribosomal RNA", at positions 29 to 507 of the family's 1533-position model. The record is from RNAcentral.